AGGAAGGCAGCAGUGAGGAAUAUUGGUCAAUGGGCGGGAGCCUGAACCAGCCAAGUCGCGUGGGGGACGACGGUCCUACGGAUUGUAAACCCCUUUUGCCGGGGAGUAACGUGCGGGACGCGUCCCGCAGUGAGAGUACCCGGAGAAAAAGCAUCGGCUAACUCCGUGCCAGCAGCCGCGGUAAUACGGAGGAUGCGAGCGUUAUCCGUAUUUAUUGGGUUUAAAGGGUGCGCAGGCGGCGCGUCAAGUCAGCGGUCAAAUCCCGGUGCUCAACGCCGGUCCGCCGUUGAAACUGCCGUGCUCGAAUUCGUGCGAGGAGAGCGGAAUGCGUGGUGUAGCGGUGAAAUGCAUAGAUAUCAUGCAGAACGCCGAUUGCGAAGGCAGCCCUCCAGCACUGGACUGACGCUCAUGCACGAAAGCGUGGGUAUCGAACAGGAUUAGAUACCCUGGUA
This 452-nucleotide ribosomal RNA is filed under the name uncultured Porphyromonadaceae bacterium. RNAcentral's name for it is "partial 16S ribosomal RNA". It matches the Rfam family "Bacterial small subunit ribosomal RNA", at positions 342 to 792 of the family's 1533-position model. Lineage: Bacteria; Pseudomonadati; Bacteroidota; Bacteroidia; Bacteroidales; Porphyromonadaceae. The record is from RNAcentral.